RNAcentral lists this ribosomal RNA (116 nucleotides) under Diaphorina citri (Asian citrus psyllid). Lineage: Eukaryota; Metazoa; Arthropoda; Insecta; Hemiptera; Psyllidae. The record is from RNAcentral.
GCGCGGCGAUAGCACGUUGAAUAUUCCAGUUCCCCAUAGAUCACUGAAGUUGGCCAACGUUGCGCGUGGUUAGUAUCCGAAUGGGUGACCAUUUGGGCGAUUGCGUGCUGUUGGCC